Molecule: non-coding RNA, 45 nt
Organism: Schistosoma rodhaini
Lineage: Eukaryota; Metazoa; Platyhelminthes; Trematoda; Strigeidida; Schistosomatidae
Source: Rfam
AUCCAGCUGACGAGUCCCAAAUUUGACGAAACGCGCGUCCUGGAU